Molecule: ribosomal RNA, 465 nt
Filed under: Vreelandella stevensii
Lineage: Bacteria; Pseudomonadati; Pseudomonadota; Gammaproteobacteria; Oceanospirillales; Halomonadaceae
Description: partial 16S ribosomal RNA
Rfam family: Bacterial small subunit ribosomal RNA
Source: RNAcentral
CCUACGGGGGGCAGCAGUGGGGAAUAUUGGACAAUGGGGGGAACCCUGAUCCAGCCAUGCCGCGUGUGUGAAGAAGGCCCCCGGGUUGUAAAGCACUUUCAGUGAGGAAGAACGCCUGGUGGUUAAUACCCAUCAGGAAAGACAUCACUCACAGAAGAAGCACCGGCUAACUCCGUGCCAGCAGCCGCGGUAAUACGGAGGGUGCGAGCGUUAAUCGGAAUUACUGGGCGUAAAGCGCGCGUAGGUGGCUUGAUAAGCCGGUUGUGAAAGCCCCGGGCUCAACCUGGGAACGGCAUCCGGAACUGUCAAGCUAGAGUGCAGGAGAGGAAGGUAGAAUUCCCGGUGUAGCGGUGAAAUGCGUAGAGAUCGGGAGGAAUACCAGUGGCGAAGGCGGCCUUCUGGACUGACACUGACACUGAGGUGCGAAAGCGUGGGUAGCAAACAGGAUUAGAUACCCGGGUAGUC